Molecule: ribosomal RNA, 432 nt
Filed under: uncultured eukaryote
Lineage: Eukaryota
Description: bacterial SSU rRNA
Rfam family: Eukaryotic small subunit ribosomal RNA
Source: RNAcentral
CAGUAAUGUAUAUCAAGUUUGCUGCGGCUCAAAAGCUCGUAGUUGGUUUUCUGCCAAGGACAACCGGUCCGCCCUCUGGAUGAGUAUAGGGCUCAGGCCGCUCGGCCUGGGCAUCUUAUUGGAGAACGCAUCUGCACUUGAUCGUGUGGUGCGGUAUCCAGGACUUUUACUUCCGAGGUCAUUAGAGUGUUUCAAGCAGGCACACGUCUUGAACACAGUAGCAUGGAAUAGUACGAUGGGACCUCGGUUAUAUUUUGUUGGUUUCUGGAGCAGAGGUAAUGAUUAAUGGGAAUAGUUAGGGGCAUUUGUAUUUAAUUGUCAGAGGUGGAAUAAUCGGAUAUGUUGAAGACGGACUACUGCUAAAGUCUUUGCCAAGGAUGUUUUCAUUGGUCAUGAAAUAAAGUUAGGGGAUCGAAGAUGAUUAGAUACCAU